GGAGAGUAUAGCUCAGUGGUAAAGUGUAUGCUUAAUAUGAAUGAGGUCCUGGGUUCAAUCCCCAGUACCUCCA
RNAcentral lists this transfer RNA (73 nucleotides) under Vicugna pacos (alpaca). RNAcentral's name for it is "tRNA-Ile (AAT) (tRNA-Ile-AAT-27-1)". It matches the Rfam family "tRNA". Rfam says of the family: Transfer RNA (tRNA) molecules are approximately 80 nucleotides in length. Lineage: Eukaryota; Metazoa; Chordata; Mammalia; Artiodactyla; Camelidae. The record is from RNAcentral.